GAGCGAGGCCACCCGCAAGGGUGAGUCGAGCGGCGAACGGGUGAGUAACGCGUGGAUGACCUGCCCUUGAGUGGGGAAUAACCCGGGGAAACUCGGGCUAAUACCGCAUAAGACCGAGAGGUGAAAGCGGGGUCGCAAGAUCUCGUGCUCAUGGAGGGGUCCGCGUUCGAUUAGCUAGUUGGUAGGGUAAUGGCCUACCAAGGCGACGAUCGAUAGCCGGCCUGAGAGGGUGAUCGGCCACACUGGAACUGAGACACGGUCCAGACUCCUACGGGAGGCAGCAGUGGGGAAUUUUGCGCAAUGGGCUAACGCCUGACGCAGCAACGCCGCGUGGAGGAUGAAGGUCUUUGGAUUGUAAACUCCUGUCAGCAGGGAAAAAGCGACUAGACCUAAUACGUCUGGGAGUUGAUUGUACCUGCAGAGGAAGCCCCGGCUAACUCUGUGCCAGCAGCCGCGGUAAUACAGAGGGGGCAAGCGUUAUUCGGAAUUAUUGGGCGUAAAGGGCGCGUAGGCGGCUUUUCAAGUGACGGGUGAAAUCCCUCGGCUCAACCGAGGAACUGCCUGUCAGACUGGAAGGCUUGAGACCGGGAGAGGUGAGUGGAAUUCCCAGUGUAGCGGUGAAAUGCGUAGAUAUUGGGAGGAACACCCGUGGCGAA
RNAcentral lists this ribosomal RNA (656 nucleotides) under uncultured bacterium. Its description in RNAcentral is "bacterial SSU rRNA". It matches the Rfam family "Bacterial small subunit ribosomal RNA", at positions 64 to 719 of the family's 1533-position model. The record is from RNAcentral.